AUGUCUGACCGAGCAACGCCGCGUGAGUNAAGAAGGUUUUCGGAUCGUAAAACUCUGUUGGUAGAGAAGAACGUUGGUGAGAGUGGAAAGCUCAUCAAGNGACGGNAACUACCCAGAAAGGGACGGCUAACUACGUGCCAGCAGCCGCGGNAAUACGUAGGUCCCGAGCGUUGUCCGGAUUUAUUGGGCGUAAAGCGAGCGCAGGUGGUUUAUUANGUCUGGUGUAAAAGGCAGUGGCUCAACCAUUGUAUGCAUUGGAAACUGGUAGACUUGAGUGCAGGAGAGGAGAGUGGAAUUCCAUGUGUAGCGGUGAAAUGCGUAGAUAUAUGGAGGAACACCGGUGGCGAAAGCGGCUCUCUGGCCUGUAACUNACACUNNGGCUCGAAAGCGUGGGGAGCAAACAGGAUUAGAUACCCUGGUAGUCCACGCCGUAAACGAUGNGUGCUAGAUGUAGGGAGCUAUAAGUUCUCUGUAUCGCAGCUAACGUAA
This 489-nucleotide ribosomal RNA is filed under the name Lactococcus lactis subsp. lactis. Its description in RNAcentral is "bacterial SSU rRNA". It matches the Rfam family "Bacterial small subunit ribosomal RNA", at positions 379 to 860 of the family's 1533-position model. Lineage: Bacteria; Bacillati; Bacillota; Bacilli; Lactobacillales; Streptococcaceae. The record is from RNAcentral.